Molecule: ribosomal RNA, 261 nt
Filed under: uncultured prokaryote
Description: partial 16S ribosomal RNA
Rfam family: Bacterial small subunit ribosomal RNA
Source: RNAcentral
UACGGAGGAUCCGAGCGUUAUCCGGAAUUAUUGGGUUUAAAGGGUGCGUAGGCGGCCAUUUAAGUCAGCGGUGAAAUUUUGCAGCUUAACUGUAACAGUGCCGUUGAUACUGUUUGGCUAGGAUUUGGUUGUAGUGUGCGGAAUGUGUGGUGUAGCGGUGAAAUGCUUAGAUAUUACACAGAACACCGAUUGCGAAGGCAGCUUGCUGGGUCAUUACUGACGCUGAUGCACGAAAGUGUGGGGAUCAAACAGGAUUAGAUA